AGAGUUUGAUCAUGGCUCAGGACGAACGCUGGCGGCGCGCCUAACACAUGCAAGUCGAACGAGAGAGAGGGAGCUUGCUUCCUUGAUCGAGUGGCGAACGGGUGAGUAACGCGUGAGGAACCUGCCUCAAAGAGGGGGACAACAGUUGGAAACGACUGCUAAUACCGCAUAAGCCCACGACCCGGCAUCGGGAAGAGGGAAAAGGAGCAAUCCGCUUUGAGAUGGCCUCGCGUCCGAUUAGCUAGUUGGUGAGGUAACGGCCCACCAAGGCGACGAUCGGUAGCCGGACUGAGAGGUUGAACGGCCACAUUGGGGCUGAGACACGGCCCAAACUCCUACGGGAGGCAGCAGUGGGGAAUAUUGCACAAUGGGGGAAACCCUGAUGCAGCGACGCCGCGUGGAGGAAGAAGGUCUUCGGAUUGUAAACUCCUGUUGUUGAGGAAGAUAAUGACGGUACUCAACAAGGAAGUGACGGCUAACUACGUGCCAGCAGCCGCGGUAAAACGUAGGUCACAAGCGUUGUCCGGAAUUACUGGGUGUAAAGGGAGCGCAGGCGGGCGAUCAAGUUGGAAGUGAAAUCCAUGGGCUCAACCCAUGAACUGCUUUCAAAACUGGUCGUCUUGAGUAGUGCAGAGGUAGGCGGAAUUCCCGGUGUAGCGGUGGAAUGCGUAGAUAUCGGGAGGAACACCAGUGGCGAAGGCGGCCUACUGGGCACCAACUGACGCUGAGGCUCGAAAGUGUGGUAGCAAACAGGAUUAGAUACCCUGGUAGUCCACGCCGUAAACGAUGAGUGCUAAGUGUUGGAGGGUUUCCGCCCUUCAGUGCUGCAGCUAACGCAUUAAGCACUCCGCCUGGGGAGUACGGUCGCAAGACUGAAACUCAAAGGAAUUGACGGGGGCCCGCACAGGCGGUGGAGCAUGUGGUUUAAUUCGAAGCAACGCGAAGAACCUUACCAGGUCUUGACAUCUUCUGACAAUUCCAGAGAUGGAACGUUCCCUUCGGGGACAGAAUGACAGGUGGUGCAUGGUUGUCGUCAGCUCGUGUCGUGAGAUGUUGGGUUAAGUCCCGCAACGAGCGCAACCCUUAUUGUCAGUUGCCAUCAUUAAGUUGGGCACUCUGGCGAGACUGCCGGUGACAAACCGGAGGAAGGUGGGGAUGACGUCAAAUCAUCAUGCCCCUUAUGACCUGGGCUACACACGUGCUACAAUGGACGGUACAACGAGUCGCUAACUCGCGAGGGCAAGCUAAUCUCUUAAAGCCGUUCUCAGUUCGGAUUGCAGGCUGCAACUCGCCUGCAUGAAGUCGGAAUCGCUAGUAAUCGCGAAUCAGCAUGUCGCGGUGAAUACGUUCCCGGGCCUUGUACACACCGCCCGUCACACCAUGAGAGUUUGUAACACCCAAAGUCGGUGGGGUAACCUUUUGGAGCCAGCCGCCUAAGGUGGGACAGAUGAUUGGGGUGAAGUCGUAACAAGGU
This 1474-nucleotide ribosomal RNA is filed under the name metagenome. Its description in RNAcentral is "bacterial SSU rRNA". It matches the Rfam family "Bacterial small subunit ribosomal RNA". The record is from RNAcentral.